Molecule: ribosomal RNA, 245 nt
Filed under: Lecidea nylanderi
Lineage: Eukaryota; Fungi; Ascomycota; Lecanoromycetes; Lecideales; Lecideaceae
Description: partial 18S ribosomal RNA
Source: RNAcentral
GCGUGUUUGCCUACGAAGCCUCAGCAGCGACAGCGCCGGGAAAGCACUGCUUCAGUCGGCCUAUAUUCUAGGUCUGGCAACGCGAUCAAUCUGGGCUGGGAGCACCCGUAUAGGGCGCAACCAGCAGCUAGGUACUACCUAGUCUACAGAUCAAACGAUGGCGGCCACCGAGCGUGGUUCAGAUAUGACCGGCCCCAGCCGUCCCCGGCUGGCGAUGUUUGUGCGGAACCUGCGGAAGGAUCAUU